UGACCUCAAAUCAGGUAGGACUACCCGCUGAACUUAAGCAUAUCAAUAAGCGGAGGAAAAGAAACUAACAAGGAUUCCCCUAGUAACUGCGAGUGAAGCGGGAAAAGCUCAAAUUUAAAAUCUGGCGGUCUUUUGGCUGUCCGAGUUGUAAUCUAGAGAAGUGUUAUCCGCGCUGGACCGUGUACAAGUCUCCUGGAAUGGAGCAUCAUAGAGGGUGAGAAUCCCGUCUUUGACAUGGACUACCAGGGCUUUGUGAUGCGCUCUCAAAGAGUCGAGUUGUUUGGGAAUGCAGCUCAAAAUGGGUGGUAAAUUCCAUCUAAAGCUAAAUAUUGGCGAGAGACCGAUAGCGAACAAGUACCGUGAGGGAAAGAUGAAAAGAACUUUGGAAAGAGAGUUAAACAGUACGUGAAAUUGCUGAAAGGGAAACGCUUGAAGUCAGUCGCGUCGUCCAGGGAUCAACCUUGCUUUUGCUUGGUGCACUUUCUGGUUUGACGGGUCAGCAUCAAUUUUGACCAUUGGAAAAAGGCUAGGGGAAUGUGGCAUCCUUGGAUGUGUUAUAGCCCUUGGUCACAUACAAUGGUUGGGAUUGAGGAACUCAGCACGCCGCAAGGCCGGGUUUUAAACCACGUACGUGCUUAGGAUGC
Molecule: ribosomal RNA, 644 nt
Filed under: Cortinarius cf. flos-paludis SMI201
Lineage: Eukaryota; Fungi; Basidiomycota; Agaricomycetes; Agaricales; Cortinariaceae
Description: eukaryotic LSU rRNA
Rfam family: Eukaryotic large subunit ribosomal RNA
Source: RNAcentral